CUCGAAGGUCAUUAUCCAACUUUGCCAUGGUGUUUGACGGAAGAGCAGAUAACCCAUCUUGUAAUGGAAGCUCAUCUGUGCCUAAAAAGCGUUCCUUUCUUUGAGAUUCAAAAACAAACAAACAAACAAACAAACAAACAAACAAACAAAAGCUGCAGGAUUGUUCCUGAGACCUGUCAGUUUGUUUCUCUUUUUCAGUUGGCUUGAAGCUCCGCGGCCAUGAUUUGGGUGGCUGGACAAUGGACAGAGCUCAGAAAUAAACAGUGGUAUGCAGAGGUUUGACACACCUGCUGAACAGUCCAAGGUAGCAACGUCAUUAAUGCUGGAGUGAGGACAAGCAGAAGAGACUUGAUCUCUGGAGGAGCUGGAGACUAUGGUAAACCUCAUAGGCGGCCAGUUGCCCUUACAUGGCCUCCAGUGAGAUUCCAGGACACCAGGUUUCAGAUGUAAGAUUCCAGAACAUAAGAAUGAGAUGACUUACACAGACCCUGCGUGUGUGGCUGGGGAGUACCAAGACUUAAACUAGUAACAGGACUCUAGAGAAAUACAUGAAUGCAUGGUAAGUCAACAGCUGUGUGCUACACAUAUUCUUUGCACAGGCGAGCAGAGCUUCACCCUGAAAUC
Non-coding RNA from Peromyscus maniculatus bairdii (prairie deer mouse), 624 nucleotides. NCBI's taxonomy places the organism in Eukaryota, Metazoa, Chordata, Mammalia, Rodentia, Cricetidae. The record is from RefSeq and is a predicted model, not a curated record.